RNAcentral lists this unclassified non-coding RNA (370 nucleotides) under uncultured Flavobacteriaceae bacterium. RNAcentral describes it as "contains 16S-23S intergenic spacer region". Lineage: Bacteria; Pseudomonadati; Bacteroidota; Flavobacteriia; Flavobacteriales; Flavobacteriaceae. The record is from RNAcentral.
UCACAGUUUGCACUGGCAGUCUUGUUAGAGUUCCCGACUUGACUCGCUGGCAACUAACAACAGGGGUUGCGCUCGUUAUAGGACUUAACCUGACACCUCACGGCACGAGCUGACGACAACCAUGCAGCACCUUGAAAAACGUCCGAAGAAGGGCCUGUUUCCAAGCCUGUCGUUUCCCAUUUAAGCCUUGGUAAGGUUCCUCGCGUAUCAUCGAAUUAAACCACAUGCUCCACCGCUUGUGCGGGCCCCCGUCAAUUCCUUUGAGUUUCAAACUUGCGUUCGUACUCCCCAGGUGGGAUACUUAUCACUUUCGCUUAGCCACUGAGGUUGCCCCCAACAGCUAGUAUCCAUCGUUUACGGCGUGGACUAC